This 35-nucleotide small nuclear RNA is filed under the name Cervus elaphus hippelaphus. The record is from RNAcentral. Lineage: Eukaryota; Metazoa; Chordata; Mammalia; Artiodactyla; Cervidae.
AUUGCUUCUCGGCCUUUUGGCUAAGAUCAAGUGUA